This 209-nucleotide ribosomal RNA is filed under the name uncultured bacterium. RNAcentral's name for it is "partial 16S ribosomal RNA". It matches the Rfam family "Bacterial small subunit ribosomal RNA", at positions 568 to 775 of the family's 1533-position model. The record is from RNAcentral.
AGCGCAGGCGGGAAGACAAGUUGGAAGUGAAAUCUAUGGGCUCAACCCAUAAACUGCUUUCAAAACUGUUUUUCUUGAGUAGUGCAGAGGUAGGCGGAAUUCCCGGUGUAGCGGUGGAAUGCGUAGAUAUCGGGAGGAACACCAGUGGCGAAGGCGGCCUACUGGGCACCAACUGACGCUGAGGCUCGAAAGCAUGGGUAAGCAAACAG